This 133-nucleotide non-coding RNA is filed under the name uncultured Acetatifactor sp. Its description in RNAcentral is "FMN riboswitch (RFN element)". It matches the Rfam family "FMN riboswitch aptamer (RFN element)". Rfam says of the family: The RFN element is a highly conserved domain that is found frequently in the 5'-untranslated regions of prokaryotic mRNAs that encode for flavin mononucleotide (FMN) biosynthesis and transport proteins. This element is a metabolite-dependent riboswitch that directly binds FMN in the absence of proteins. In Bacillus subtilis, the riboswitch most likely controls gene expression by causing premature transcription termination within the 5' untranslated region of the ribDEAHT operon and precluding access to the ribosome-binding site of ypaA mRNA. The record is from RNAcentral. Lineage: Bacteria; Bacillati; Bacillota; Clostridia; Lachnospirales; Lachnospiraceae.
UUCUUCAGGGUUGGGUGCAAUUCCCUACUGGCGGUGAAGGCGUAAGCUUACAGUCCGCGACCCGCAGGUGUAUCACUUGUGGCUGAUCCGGUGUGAAUCCGGGACCAACAGUACAGUCUGGAUGAAAGAAGAA